CUCCGCUUCCCUGUCUAACUGCAGCCUGCCAGUGUUGGUGACUUCUUGGAUAUUUGACAGUGUCCUGCUAUCCAGCAUCUCUCCUCCUCUAUCCCAUUGGCUCUUUGUCUAUCCUAUACCUUGUAUCCACUCUGUCUACAAUUUGAUAACUCUAGCUUUCCUGUCAAAUCUACCGCUCUGUCUGCUUUUGGAAACUCUAUCUUUGUAUCCCUCUUCUAUCCCACUCUAUCUGUAUACAGAAGCCUGAAAACCCUGAUAUUCUGAAACCUGAACCCUGAAACCUGAACCUAAGGUUAUUGCAACCUGUCUGAACAGAACUCUGAGAGUAUCUCCACUCUCCCGCUCUCUGUCUCUCCUCUGAACACUCACUCACCCGGGUUAUUGGUACCUGAUCUACCUUUUUGAAUGAUCUGAGAGAUUCUCUUCUCUCACUCUCACCUCUCUCCUAUCAACUCCUAUAUUUAUACAAUACUAUUACUGUUUUUACUAAUUUGACAAAACAUUUGAAAUUACUAUUAAUGAGAUUAACAAAAUUGGCCUGAACAAAGAAUUGAAAAGUUAAUUCAGAAGCUGAAAAAAA
Gasterosteus aculeatus aculeatus (three-spined stickleback) is the source of this 580-nucleotide long non-coding RNA. RefSeq lists it as uncharacterized. The record is from RefSeq and is a predicted model, not a curated record. Lineage: Eukaryota; Metazoa; Chordata; Actinopteri; Perciformes; Gasterosteidae.